GACGAACGCUGGCGGCAUGCCUAAUACAUGCAAGUCGAGCGAACAGAUGGAGUGCUUGCACUUCUGACGUUAGCGGCGAACGGGUGAGUAACACGUAAGGAAUCUACCUAUAAGCGGGGGAUAACAUUCGGAAACGGGUGCUAAUACCGCAUAUUAUCUUCUUCCGCAUGGAAGAAGAUUGAAAGAUGGCUCUGCUGUCACUUAUAGAUGACCUUGCGGUGCAUUAGUUAGUUGGUGGGGUAACGGCCUACCAAGACGAUGAUGCAUAGCCGACCUGAGAGGGUGAGCGGCCACAUUGGGACUGAGACACGGACCAAACUCCUACGGGAGGCAGCAGUAGGGAAUCUUCCGCAAUGGGCGAAAGCCUGACGGAGCAAUGCCGCGUGAGUGAAGAAGGCCUUCGGGUCGUAAAACUCUGUUAUAAGAGAAGAACAAAUUGUAGAGUAACUGCUACAGUCUUGACGGUAUCUUAUCAGAAAGCCACGGCUAACUACGUGCCAGCCGCCGCCGUAA
This 513-nucleotide ribosomal RNA is filed under the name uncultured bacterium. RNAcentral describes it as "partial 16S ribosomal RNA". It matches the Rfam family "Bacterial small subunit ribosomal RNA", at positions 28 to 523 of the family's 1533-position model. The record is from RNAcentral.